UACCUCGCCGCUUAAUUGGCGGCUUGCAUGAAUGGCGUAACGACUUUCCCACUGUCCCUACUUAGGACCUAGUGAAAUCACCGCCCGGUGAAGACGCCGGGGACUUCCAGAGGGAAUUUGACCUAAUUGAUUUUUUUACUAAUUAGCGUCAGCCCUAAACGAAGACUCCAUGGAGCUUUACUAUAGCCUGAUGUUGUGAUAGCGAGUCUACUACCAAGAGUAAGUGGGAGCGGUUAUGUUGCAACUCCUGGGUUGCAAAUACGCGAAAGUGUUACACCACUUAGUAGAUUUGUUAUCGCUUACUCGAAAGAGGACAGCGUUUGGUGGAUAGUUUGGCUGGGGCGGUACGCCCUCGAAAAAGAAACAAGGGCGCCCAAUGCUCUGCUCAUUCCGGUCAGAAAUCGGAAGUAGAGGGUUAACAACAAAUGCAGGGCUGACUGUGUCGCUAAAAGCGUGGGACGCAGAGACGAAAGUCGGGUGUAACGAACCUUGAAACCUUUUUGAUGAGGGUUCAAGCUGUCAGACAAGCUACCCUGGAGGUAACAGGCUCGUCGCGGGUGAGAGUACACUAAACGUGUAUCUUAAGGUGCUUCGGCAUUCCCAAUUGUUCGAAUGUUUUCGAACAAUGGGCGCAUUGUCGUGAAAACGACAAUUGCGUUAGGAUCUAGAAAUCGCAAGAUUUCUGGAAAAUUCUCACUCUGUGAUCGACCUUUUCAAUAAAACUCUCUAAAUUGCGGAUCGCAUCACUGCGGUUCGUCUAAUUAAUGUUUUAAAAUUUGAACAGUUCGCUGUUCGGAUGAAAAGGAUAGAUAUUAGGUCACAGAUUGGUAGCCUUCGGGCUACCGGAAUUAAGGGACUCAUGCUUUGCAUGACCCUGACGUUUAUAUAAAUCGACCCCGCGGUUUGGUACAUCGCUGUCGGCUUGGGAUAUCCUGGUCGUGUAGGAGCGACCAAGGGUUGGGUUGUUCAUCCAUUAAAAUCCCACAUGAGCUGGGUUCAGUACGUCGCGAGACAGUACGGUAGUAUCUCCUGGAAGUGUUGAUCCUUGAGAGCAAGAUUCCCUGAGUACGAGAGGAACGGGGAAUCGGAGCCACUGGUAUACCGGUUGUAAUUGCACUGCCGGGCAGCUACGCUCCAUGUUGAUAAGAUCUGAAAGCAUCUAAGAUCGAAGCAACUCUUAAAACUAGGGAUCAAAGUCCGCCUAUAGUAGAUAGGUUUGAUAGAAUCAGGGUGUAAGCAGUAAGCUCACGCGAGCUGUUCAGCCUGUGAUUACUAAAGGAAUAUCUUGAAUUAAU
This 1295-nucleotide ribosomal RNA is filed under the name Microcaldota archaeon. RNAcentral describes it as "partial 23S ribosomal RNA". It matches the Rfam family "Archaeal large subunit ribosomal RNA", at positions 2042 to 2987 of the family's 2987-position model. Lineage: Archaea; Nanobdellati; Microcaldota. The record is from RNAcentral.